GGAGCCGCCUUUCCCCUGUGGCCCGAGCACCUCCCGGACCCCGCUCUGUUCCUGGGGAUUCGCCCUUCCCACCAGAGCCCCGCCAGAUGGUCAUCUUCAUUUAAAAUGGACUUGGAAGAUUAUCUUCUCUGAGAAGCACUCAGUCCUCCCCCUUGGUGCACAUUCAACAUCAACGCAUAGACCCACCCUAGGGUUCUUGUCCGUUUCCUCAUCUGUCUUCCCUUCCACAGUGUGAGAACCCCACCCAUUGAGGACGGGGGCCAGGGCACACACGAUUCUGGAUUGUGUGAACCAGGUCACAGAAUCAUCCAGUAAGACAUGAAGAGCUGUUGAGGAAGGGGAGAAUACUCAGCCAUUAAGUGUCUCAAAUACUUCAGCCAUUGCAGUGAGCUUCUGUGUUGGCCGCAGCUCUCAGACUAAGGACUAGAGUACAGGUCUUCUGACUUCCGUUGGAGGGAGGAGGCUUGUACAGGAACGCGCAUGAGCUGCAGAUGCGGGUUCAGCUUGUAUUUUUACAACUUACUAACUGCCUCAUCUUAGGCAAGUUACUUCAUCUUUGAGCUUUGCUGUCCUAACUGGGGGGGAAAAAUCCUUGAAGGAACUCAUUCUAAGUGUGGAAAUAAAUAAGUAAUUGCAAAACCAAAUGCCAUCCAGUAUUAGACAUAUAUAUAUAUAUAUACACAUAUAUAUAG
Felis catus (domestic cat) is the source of this 692-nucleotide long non-coding RNA. RefSeq lists it as uncharacterized. The transcript has 3 exons. The record is from RefSeq and is a predicted model, not a curated record. Lineage: Eukaryota; Metazoa; Chordata; Mammalia; Carnivora; Felidae.